This 3415-nucleotide long non-coding RNA is filed under the name Equus caballus (horse). Its description in RNAcentral is "lncRNA (ENSECAG00000045421.1)". The record is from RNAcentral. Lineage: Eukaryota; Metazoa; Chordata; Mammalia; Perissodactyla; Equidae.
AUUGGAUACUUACUGCAUUCUAGGCACUGUGCGAAAUGUCUUACAUCUAUUCAUCUCGUUAGUAAGCAUUUCUGAAACGAUCCGUUCUUAUAAUUUGUCUUUUCGGUUUUCUCAUUCAUGUUCUUAAAAUCUGAGCAUAGCCAUGAGCUCCCAGUGCAGCCACUGCAUCUCUUUAAAAGCUGCCGCUCUCUACUUUCUCCUGGGUGAUGGGUCCUGCCUCUGAAGCUAGGACGAUCUGGGUAGGCAGGAAUCCUGCCUUCCAAGACCGGCAGGAGGCGUGGUUCCCCGGGCUGUACGGAUGAUACAAGGUCUUGACUCAGGGUAACUGGUGGCUAUGUAAGGGAAGGGAGAAGCUUAAAAUGAACCAAGGAAGGAUGCAGGAAGUGGAGAGGUGGGCUGAGAAUCAGGCUCCUAGGAGUGCAGUGGGAAGGAGUCCAAAGGUUAAAGUCUGGGAAGCCUGGGCUUGGUCAGGAGGUGGGGAGAAGGAAGUCAUUCCAGAUGGAGGCGGUAACAGUGUGAACCCAUCUGUGAGGGUUCAUUUUGUGUGUCAACUUGACUGGGCUAAGGAUGCCCAGAUAGCUGGUAAAACAGUAUUUCUGGGUAUGUCUGUGAGGGUGUUUCCAGAAGAGAUUAGCAUUUGAAUCUGUAAAUUGAGUAAAAAAGAUUCAUCCUUGCCAAUGUUGGCAGGCGUCAUCCAGUCCAUUGAGGGCCAGAUUAGAACAAAAAGGUGGAGGAAGGGCAAAUUCUGUCUUUCUUCUUGAGCCAGGACAUCCAUCUCUCCUGCCCUCAGACAGCGGAACCGGAGCUUCCGGUUCUUGGGCCUUGGACUCUGGGACUGACACAAGGCUGGCCUUCCUUUGUCCUUGGACUGGUUCUCCAGCGUGCUGGCAGCAGGUCAUGGCAUACCUCAGCCUCCAUCCUCGUGUGAAUCAAUUCCUGUAAUGACUCUCCUCUCAUACAUCACGAUAUAUCCUAUUGGUUCUGUUUCUCUGGAGAACCCCACUACACUAUCAUUUCUUUUUUCAGUAAUGAGCGUCAGAAAGGAGUCCAGAGGACAGGCUCUCUCUCCACUUCCUCAGCCUGCUGAGGACUGAGGCUGACAACAAGCAGACCCUAGAAAUUCUCCACAAUGCAUCCAUUCUCAGAUGUGUGGAUUUCCAGGCAAGUGUUCUGCACACAAAAACUGCUCCAUAUAUGUUACUGGUUCAUCUAACUAAAGACCCCAGAAGAGACUAGCACCCCAAAGGAGCAAAUAUUUCUCUUCUGGGCUCCCCAACUUAAAGCAAACAUCGCUAUUAUGAGCAGGCAGUAGGCAGUUAAUAAAUACUUCUUGACUAAUUAGGGAGUGUAAGUAUGCAAAAGUGGUGAAUUAGAAAGAAAGAGAGCUGCAUUAAAGAUAAUCAAACCACGAAGUAUCUAGAACAAUAGCUUCUCCCCUGCAUUGUGUGUGUAGGGAGAGAAAGGCUGGCUAGCUGGCAGCUCUCCCUUCUCAUUAGUCUCCACCAGGAUAGUAUUGCAAUUAGCUCCGGAUGGCACAGCAAUUAUCUUCUAUUCUUGGAACAAACUCCUGGGAGAUCUGAGUUUGGGUGGUGAAGGAAGGUUUUACCAGGGACAAAUAAAUUCACUGUGAACCCCUUCUGAGUGAAUACUCCGCGUGUGGCUAAUAGAAUGUUAGCCAUCAAUGUAAACCUGACUGGUGGCUUCGUUUUAUAUCAAUGACACUUAAACACGAGCUCAAGAAUUUGGAUGGCCAAUUAACAGAACAUGGCUCGGGAAAUUAUAGGUUUCAAAUUUCAGAAAAAUCGGUGAAUUUAGACAACUCGAAUAUCUGCUCCUCAUUAAGGUAGACAGCCUCGGCCUCCAAGUUCUGGCUGACACGGGCUUGCUACUGAGAUGGGGACUGAAAGGAGUAAAAAAAUAAUGUUCUCAAUUAUCUUGCCAGUUAUUGAGCCGGGUAAAGACUCCACCUCACCGCCCACUUGACAAUCCCUUUUAAACAGCUAAAUUUCCUGCAUUUUAAUCAGCUGACAGACCCAGGAGGCUGGGCUGUCUGGGAUGUUUGCUCGCCCUGGCUGGGGAGGACCGGGCUUGGCAGGCACAGGGGCCUCCAAGGUCCUUGUGGAGGGUCCUUGCCAAGAAGAGAGCCUCUUCCUGGGGUCAGAACCGAGCCACAAAUCCUGGCUCUGCGACCCCUCCAACCUCUUCGCUUCGUCUUCCACCCGUCACGCUUUUCUUUCUUCUGUGACAGGAACGACAGCUGUAGGGCCUGGAGUGUUUUGUCAAAGGGCCUAAGCUGGAAUCCUGCCUGGCUCCACUGCCUGCUAGUUGGGUGACUCGAGCUUUCUGAGGCCCAGUUUCUCCCUCUAGAAAAUGGGUAUGAUAAUAUCUGCCGGAAUCAUCCAGAAGGUGCUGGAAAGAGGAGGUGCCUGGAUGACUGCCCUGAGCCUGAAGGAAUUGUACCCACUGGUUUUGUUGCCCACAGUCAUUACGGGAAUGCUGAUGAUCACCUGUGCUUAGGACGAGCCCCAGGAGCUCUGUGUUGAUGCAGGGCUUCCCUGCAGAUGGUGCUGCGGCCCGGAGAAUGCUGCUAGCGAUAGGUGGGGAGAGGGGCAGCUGCACCUGAGGGUUCAGCAAAAGGUGGGUCCGGCCUCAGUUUCUACUUCCUAUACGUCCUUGGUGUGUGCUCCCACAAAAGUUUCCCCACUGUCGCAUUUGGUUUCUCACGGGCCAGUUACCUGAUAAACCAGUGACUCUGUUUCUCCUUUUUCACCCUCUCCAGCGGAUGGAACAGUGGGUCUCGCUGGCCUCCUCUGCCCAGGCCCCUCCUGCCCACCUCCCCAGACUAAGCCAGCCACUCCCCUUGACCCCUGCGAAGCGGUGCAGCGGCCUGUGUCUGCAUCUCCUGUGAUCCCUCUGGAGCGUCUUAGCAUUUAGAUGACUCCCCUGGGCUCUUGGAAACAUCCUUGUUCUGACUUUGUUUCCCAUCUGAGAUGAAGCUAGGCAAUCUGAGAAAGGAGCUAAGCCAGUGAUGCAGGAGAGAAGGCCCCAGGAUCCCCACUUGGUGCUUAGAAGACAAAGGCCCAUCUUUACGGCCCAGGUUAAAGGGCUGGGCUUGGCUCCAACACACCAGGUCGGAGUCCCAGCCCCACCACCCAGGGCUUGUGUGACCAGAGGCUCAUUACAGGGGAUGCCCUAAGUCUGCUUUGCCUGCCUGCCCAAGGAAGAGAAUGACCCCUGCCCUCUAGGAUGCAGUAGUGAAGAUGAAAUGAGAUGAGACACGCAGUGGGCUUGGCAGAGGGCCUGGCACACAGUGAUAUUCGCAUGAAGGUGGUUACUAUUCAGUGAGGAGAAGAGGUGAUGGAGCCGGGUAUCAGACCCGGGAGCAGACAGGACAGCUAGUAAGGGAGGACCGUGG